This 497-nucleotide ribosomal RNA is filed under the name uncultured bacterium. RNAcentral describes it as "partial 16S ribosomal RNA". It matches the Rfam family "Bacterial small subunit ribosomal RNA", at positions 28 to 507 of the family's 1533-position model. The record is from RNAcentral.
GAUGAACGCUGGCGGCAUGCCUAAUACAUGCAAGUCGAGCGAACAGAUAAGGAGCUUGCUCCUUUGACGUUAGCGGCGGACGGGUGAGUAACACGUGGGUAACCUAUCUAUAAGACUGGAAUAACUCCGAGAAACCGGGGCUAAUGCCGGAUAACAUGUUGAACCGCAUGGUUCUACAGUGAAAGGCGGCUUUGCUGUCACUUAUAGAUGGACCCGCGCCGUAUUAGCUAGUUGGUGAGGUAACGGCUCACCAAGGCAACGAUACGUAGCCGACCUGAGAGGGUGAUCGGCCACACUGGAACUGAGACACGGUCCAGACUCCUACGGGAGGCAGCAGUAGGGAAUCUUCCGCAAUGGGCGAAAGCCUGACGGAGCAACGCCGCGUGAGUGAUGAAGGUCUUCGGAUCGUAAAACUCUGUUAUUAGGGAAGAACAAAUGCGUAAGUAACUGUGCGCGUCUUGACGGUACCUAAUCAGAAAGCCACGGCUAACUACGUG